This 253-nucleotide ribosomal RNA is filed under the name uncultured bacterium. Its description in RNAcentral is "partial 16S ribosomal RNA". It matches the Rfam family "Bacterial small subunit ribosomal RNA", at positions 524 to 776 of the family's 1533-position model. The record is from RNAcentral.
UACAGAGGGUGCGAGCGUUGUUCGGAAUCACUGGGCGUAAAGCGCGCGCAGGCGGGCGUGUAAGUCAGGAGUGAAAUUCCGGGGCUCAACCCCGGAGCUGCUCCUGAUACUGCAGGUCUGGAGACCGGUAGAGGCUGGUGGAAUUCCCGGUGUAGCGGUGGAAUGCGUAGAGAUCGGGAAGAACACCCGUGGCGAAGGCGGCCAGCUGGGCCGGUUCUGACGCUGAGGCGCGAAAGCGUGGGGAGCAAACAGG